This is a small nucleolar RNA of Ornithorhynchus anatinus (platypus), 139 nucleotides long. The record is from RefSeq and is a predicted model, not a curated record. Lineage: Eukaryota; Metazoa; Chordata; Mammalia; Monotremata; Ornithorhynchidae.
CCCCUCUCAGGAUGGCAACCUGGAGGGUUUUCAGUACUCUACCAGCCUCGACUACAGGAGGGAGAGUCAAGCAGAGGCAUAGCCAUUCCAUUCCUAGCUUGGCCGGUGGCUAGCGAGUGGAAGGUAAUCUACUACAAGU